AGAGUUUGAUCCUGGCUCAGGACGAACGCUGGCGGCGUGCCUAACACAUGCAAGUCGAGCGGGAACCUCAGGAGGGGUAACCCUUCCGAGGGGAGAGCGGCGAACGGGUGAGUAACACGUGGGCAACCUGCCCCGGACACCGGGAUAACCCAGGGAAACCUGAGCUAAUACCGGAUACUCCGGCGCGAUCGCAUGGUCGCGCCGGGAAAGCUCCGACGGUCCGGGAUGGGCCCGCGGCCUAUCAGCUUGUUGGUGGGGUAACGGCCCACCAAGGCGACGACGGGUAGCUGGUCUGAGAGGACGGCCAGCCACACUGGGACUGAGACACGGCCCAGACUCCUACGGGAGGCAGCAGUGGGGGAUCUUGCGCUAAUGCGCGAAAGCGUGACGCAGCGACGCCGCGUGGGGGAUGAAGGCCUUCGGGUUGUAAACCCCUUUCGGCAGGGACGAAGGGAAACUGACGGUACCUGCAGAAGAAGUCCCGGCUAACUACGUGC
Molecule: ribosomal RNA, 497 nt
Filed under: uncultured bacterium
Lineage: Bacteria
Description: bacterial SSU rRNA
Rfam family: Bacterial small subunit ribosomal RNA
Source: RNAcentral